This 811-nucleotide long non-coding RNA is filed under the name Mus spicilegus (steppe mouse). Its description in RNAcentral is "lncRNA (ENSMSIG00000030252.1)". Lineage: Eukaryota; Metazoa; Chordata; Mammalia; Rodentia; Muridae. The record is from RNAcentral.
CCUCAGGACAGAUUUAAAGACAUGGGAUCAGGGAUAACACAAUUAUCUAGAUUGGACUCCCUCACCCAGCCCAGAAAUCCCCUCUGUAGCUUCCUGAAGUGUUUCUGCCCUGAGCUGGGAUACUGGGAAAAGCAAGCAGCCUUUCUGCCCUUUGUAGCUGCACAAAUCCAGCAAACGAGAAGGUGCCAGACUUUAGUCAGCCUCACCCUUCAGCUGCAGUCUAGCUUUCCUGGACCUUGGAGUCAUAGAGGUUCCUUUUUGGAGGGAUGGCACAAGAUGAUGAUGAUGAUGAUGAUGAUGAUGAUGAUGAUGAUGAUGAUGAAGAGGAACGUCCAGGUCCUGAGUCGGUAACACAUGAGCCUGGAGCAGAAAAGGCUGGAGUCUGCUGUACAGCUGGUGUGUGUGGUCCAGAGGCCAUCAAAACAAAACAACCACAGCUGUAAGCAUCCAGCGGAAAUGUUCCAUUGAGACACUUGUGCCCCAACUUUUGGCUGUCAAACUACUGAGGCAAUGAACUCCAAGAAAUUGGAAUUUCCCCAGGAUUUCCAUUCUAGGACAAUGAGAAGCCUGGAAGCUUGGUACCAGCCAAAGGAACCAAUUGGGAUCUUGUCUCCAAGAGAUUGACAGCUUGUCAGGCAGCUUCCAACUGAGACCAGCUGAGACCAGCAGAGACCAGCAGAGACCAGCAGAGACCAUGAUGAAGGGCAGGACCUCACCUUGACCAUGACUGCUUACCUGUACAAGUUUGCCCUCUAUUUUAACCCCAAGUUUCUCUUUACGAUCUGAAAAUGGACUUGGGAGGAACUCUCUG